UUCAUCCAAACAUAAACAUUGAAGUAGACAUCUUGAAUUUGAUCAUGCAACUUGAAUGGAUUUCAUCUCAUAAUAAUUGAGAAAGUUAUGGUCUUGGGAAGUUCACCUCCAAAUUAGGGUUUAGACAAAAUGACCUAUAAUCUUUCACCAUAAAAAAUGAUGUUCCAUGAAAAACUAGCUCUAUACCUCUAAACUAGCUCCAUAUGACAAAAAUUGUAGGAGAUAGCGUCUAGGGAACCCCAGUUUUGAUCAGUUGACUUC
Molecule: long non-coding RNA, 261 nt
Filed under: Lathyrus oleraceus (garden pea)
Lineage: Eukaryota; Viridiplantae; Streptophyta; Magnoliopsida; Fabales; Fabaceae
Description: Pisum sativum (pea) long non-coding RNA (PSAT_LNC011774)
Source: RNAcentral